Molecule: long non-coding RNA, 332 nt
Organism: Hemiscyllium ocellatum (epaulette shark)
Lineage: Eukaryota; Metazoa; Chordata; Chondrichthyes; Orectolobiformes; Hemiscylliidae
Exons: 3
Source: RefSeq, a predicted model, not a curated record
CGGGGCUGGAGGACCUGGCGAGGCGGUUGGCCCUCCGACCAAUCAGAGUGAAUGAGAGGCGGGACUUGAUUAUACCACGUGAUCAUCCUCGCGGACAGCGCGGCUGUGCGGGCGGAGAGCUGUCGCACAACCAGAACUGGACAGAGUAUUCCAGAAGAGGCCUCCCCAACAUCUUGUACAUCCUCAACAUAACGUCCCAACUCCUGUACUCCAAGGUCUGAACAAUCAAGAUCCCAGUGAUUAAUGCCAAAGCCCUGUUGCCUGGGGAGAGGGUGAUGUUUGACUUUCUUGUACAGCUGCAGUUUGUGUGGUGAAGGUGCUCCCACAAUGUG